This 460-nucleotide ribosomal RNA is filed under the name uncultured bacterium. Its description in RNAcentral is "partial 16S ribosomal RNA". It matches the Rfam family "Bacterial small subunit ribosomal RNA", at positions 338 to 795 of the family's 1533-position model. The record is from RNAcentral.
CCUACGGGAGGCAGCAGUGAGGAAUAUUGAUCAAUGGACGAGAGUCUGAACCAGCCAAGUAGCGUGAAGGAUGACUGCCCUAUGGGUUGUAAACUUCUUUUAUAUGGGAAUAAAAUGUUCCACGUGUGGGAUUUUGUAUGUACCAUAUGAAUAAGGAUCGGCUAACUCCGUGCCAGCAGCCGCGGUAAUACGGAGGAUCCGAGCGUUAUCCGGAUUUAUUGGGUUUAAAGGGAGCGUAGGUGGAUUGUUAAGUCAGUUGUGAAAGUUUGCGGCUCAACCGUAAAAUUGCAGUUGAAACUGGCAGUCUUGAGUACAGUAGAGGUGGGCGGAAUUCGUGGUGUAGCGGUGAAAUGCUUAGAUAUCACGAAGAACUCCGAUUGCGAAGGCAGUUCACUGGACUGCAACUGACACUGAGGCUCGAAAGUGUGGGUAUCAAACAGGAUUAGAUACCCCUGUAGUC